Molecule: ribosomal RNA, 334 nt
Filed under: uncultured eukaryote
Lineage: Eukaryota
Description: partial 18S ribosomal RNA
Rfam family: Eukaryotic small subunit ribosomal RNA
Source: RNAcentral
CCCUUAGAUGUCCGGGGCCGCACGCGCGCUACACUGAAGGAAUCAGCGUGGCUUUCUCCCUGACCCGAAAGGGUUGGGAAACCCGUUGAAUCUCCUUCGUGAUAGGGAUUGGGGCUUGAAAUUGUUCCCCAUGAACGAGGAAUUCCCAGUAAGCGCGAGUCAUAAGCUCGCGUUGAUUACGUCCCUGCCCUUUGUACACACCGCCCGUCGCUACUACCGAUUGAACGGUUUAGUGAGGGCCUCGGAUUGGUCACGGCCCGCUCUUUACCGGGCGGCGCCGUUGGUCGAGAAGACGCUCGAACUUGAUCGUUUAGAGGAAGUAAAAGUCGUAACA